This 66-nucleotide transfer RNA is filed under the name Parevania sp. ZJUH_2016024. RNAcentral's name for it is "tRNA-Val". Lineage: Eukaryota; Metazoa; Arthropoda; Insecta; Hymenoptera; Evaniidae. The record is from RNAcentral.
AAGGUUUUAGUUUAAAAUAAAAUUUUAUAUUUACAUUAUAAAGAAUAAUUGAAUAUUAAAAUCUUA